Homo sapiens (human) is the source of this 359-nucleotide long non-coding RNA. RefSeq lists it as uncharacterized. Lineage: Eukaryota; Metazoa; Chordata; Mammalia; Primates; Hominidae. The record is from RefSeq and is a predicted model, not a curated record. The transcript has 3 exons.
AUAGCUACCUGCUCAGUACCUGGGUAGGCAGGCACUGAAGAUCAGCACAAAAGAUGAGCCCCUGACUCUUCCAGGGCCAGGCCGGCUCAGGGACCCCAAAGCCUUUUUUCUUCCAACAGCACAAAUGAGAAGCCACAUUGCAGUAUCAACCUUGAGAAUUUCAAAUACCUUUGAAACAGGCAUCUCACUGGACACAGAAGACACAACUGUGAACAAGUCCAAGAAAGACCCUGUUCUCAGGAAACUGAAAUUCCUGCUAGAAGGUCUGGCAAACCUUCGUUCAGAGAUAUGACAAAAUCAAGGGUUGUGCAAGAAGCAUGGUGCUGGCAUCUGCUCCUGGUUGAGGCCUCAGGAAGCUU